AAAAUUCUAUAUUCAAUUAUUUUUUUAUAUAAAAUAAUUGUUGUUUGAAAAUUUAUUUAAAAAUUAUUUUAUAUAUAAAUUUUUGUGUAAAUUUAUUUAAAAAAUUUAAAAAAUUUAAAGUUUAUUGUAGUAAUUAAUAUUAAAUAUUUAAGAAAUUAAGAUUUAGUAAUUUUAAAAUUAAUAACAAAUUUUGUGCCAGCAGUUGCGGUUAUACAAAAGUUAAAUUAAAUUUUUUUAGUUAAUUAAUUAAUAAAUAUGAAUUAAAAAUAUAAAAAUUAAAUUAUUAAGUGAAAUUUUAAUUUAAUCAAAAUAUUAUUUUAUUUUAUGAAUUAAAAAAAUUAAAUGAUAAACUAGGAUUAGAUACCCUAUUAUUUUAAUUUAAAAUUUUAAAACUAAAUUAAUAAAUAAUUAUUUAUUGAAAAUAAAAUAAAUUGGCGGUAUUUUAGUUUAUUCAGAGGAAUCUGUUUAAUAAUUGAUAAUCCACGAAUAAAUUUACUUAAUUUUAUUAUUUUGUAUAUCGUUGUUAAAAAAAUAUUUUUAAAAAAUUAUAAUAUUUUAAAAUUAAUAAAUAAUAAAUUAAAUCAGAUCAAGAUGCAGAUUAUAAUUAAGAAUAUAAUGGAUUACAAUAAAUUUAAUAUUUAAGUUGGAUAAAAAUUUGAAAAAAUUAUUUGAAAUUGGAUUUGAAUGUAAUUUUAUUUAAUUUAAUAAAAUGAUUUUAAAUUUAAAAUAUGUACAUAUUGCCCGUCGCUUUCAUAUAUAAAUUAUAAAAUUAUAUUUAAAUAUAUAUAUAUAUAUAUAUAUAUAUAUAUAUAUAUAUAUAUAAAUAAUAAUUAUUUUAUAUAAAAAAUUGAAAUAAGUCGUAACAAAGUAGAAAUACUGGAAAGUGUUUCUAGAAACAA
Molecule: ribosomal RNA, 899 nt
Filed under: Euproctis seitzi
Lineage: Eukaryota; Metazoa; Arthropoda; Insecta; Lepidoptera; Erebidae
Description: 12S ribosomal RNA
Source: RNAcentral